This 567-nucleotide ribosomal RNA is filed under the name uncultured marine eukaryote. RNAcentral's name for it is "SSU rRNA". It matches the Rfam family "Eukaryotic small subunit ribosomal RNA", at positions 618 to 1189 of the family's 1831-position model. The record is from RNAcentral.
GUUAAAAAGCUCGUAGUUGGAUUUCUGUUGAGGACGGCCGGUCCGCAUUAUGUGCGUGUAUCUGGUUCGGCCUUGGCAUCCUCCAGGGGAACGUACCUGCGCUUUACUGCGUGGGACGGUAUUCUGGACUUUUACUUUGAGGAAAUUAGAGUGUUCACGGCAGGCAGUCGCCUUGAAUAUAUUAGCAUGGAAUAAUAAUAUAGGACCUUGAUUCUAUUUUGUUGGUUUCUAGAAUUUAGGUAAUGAUUAAUAGGGACAAUUGGGGGCAUUUGUAUUAACACGUCAGAGGUGAAAUUCCCGGAUUGUGUUACGACAAACUACUGCGAAAGCAUUUGCCAAGGAUGUUUUCAUUGAUCAAGAACGAAAGUAAGGGGAUCGAAGACGAUUAGAUACCGUCGUAGUCUUUACCAUAAACUAUGCCAACUAGAGAUUGGAGGUCGUUCUUUUUAUGACUCCUUCAGCACCUUAUGAGAAAUCAAAGUCUAUGGGUUCCGGGGGGAGUAUGGUCGCAAGGCUGAAACUUAAAGGAAUUGACGGAAGGGCACCACCAGGAGUGGAGCCUGCGGC